AGGAUGAACGCUGGCGGCGUGCCUAAUACAUGCAAGUCGAACGAGGUCUUCGGACCGAGUGGCGAACGGGUGAGUAACACGUUGGUACCUACCCCGAAGUGGGGAAUAACUGCCCGAAAGGGUGGCUAACACCGCAUAAUACCGCAAGGUUAAAGCAGUAAUGCGCUUCGGGAGGGGCCUGCGUCCCAUUAGCUAGUUGGUAGGGUAAUGGCCUACCAAGGCGACGAUGGGUAGCUGGAUCGAGAGGUUGACCAGCCACACUGGGACUGAGAUACGGCCCAGACUCCUACGGGAGGCAGCAGUAAGGAAUCUUCCACAAUGGACGAAAGUCUGAUGGAGCAACGCCGCGUGCAGGAUGACGGCCUUCGGGUUGUAAACUGUCUUUUAUAUGGAAGAUUAUGACGGUACCAUAUGAAUAAGGACCGGCUAACUACGUGCCAGCAGCCGC
Molecule: ribosomal RNA, 448 nt
Filed under: uncultured bacterium
Lineage: Bacteria
Description: SSU rRNA
Rfam family: Bacterial small subunit ribosomal RNA
Source: RNAcentral